RNAcentral lists this long non-coding RNA (306 nucleotides) under Helianthus annuus (common sunflower). RNAcentral's name for it is "sRNA HanXRQr2_Chr09g0390311". The record is from RNAcentral. Lineage: Eukaryota; Viridiplantae; Streptophyta; Magnoliopsida; Asterales; Asteraceae.
UUCGAAGUCUGAAACAUAUCCUUCGACAGAGGAAUCUUUUCGAAAGACUAGUGUCCGAAAGAUUAGGAUCCUUCGUAUUGGUGAAUCUUUCGAGAUCUAUUGUUCGAAAGAUAAGGAUUUGGCUCGAAAGAUAAGGAUCUUUCAAAGGGAAUCUUUCGAGUUCUUGAAUCUUUCGAAAUCAUUGUUCGAGAGUCAACAGUAAUCUUUCGAGUACUGUUGAUCCUUCGAACAAGGUUAUAUCUUUCGAUUGAGGAUUGGAUGGAAAGUACUGGAAGAACCAGCUUGGAGAGUGGCAACCACGUCUAA